UUCGCAAUGCCCGAAAGGGUGACGAAGCGACGCCGCGUGGGUGAAGAAGGCCUUCGGGUUGUAAAGCCCUGUCAGGAGUUAUGAAAUGUAGGUGCGAUAAUACCGUGCCUAUUUGACAAAGGCUCCAAAGGAAGCCACGGCUAACUCUGUGCCAGCAGCCGCGGUAAUACAGAGGUGGCAAGCGUUGUUCGGAAUUAUUGGGCGUGAAGAGCACGUAGGUGGGUUUGUAAGUCAGAUGUGAAAGCCUUCUGUUCAACGGAAGAAUUGCAUCUGAAACUGCGAGUCUUGAGUGUAGGAGGGGAGAAUGGAACUUCUGGUGGAGCGGUGAAAUGCGUAGAUAUCAGAAGGAACGCCGGCGGCGAAAGCGAUUCUCUGGCCUAUUACUGACACUGAGUGUGCGAAAGCUAGGGGAGCAAACGGGAUUAGAUACCCCGGUAGUCCUAGCCGUAAACGAUGGGCACUAAGUAGAGGGGUUUU
Molecule: ribosomal RNA, 477 nt
Filed under: Candidatus Scalindua marina (nom. nud.)
Lineage: Bacteria; Pseudomonadati; Planctomycetota; Candidatus Brocadiia; Candidatus Brocadiales; Candidatus Scalinduaceae
Description: bacterial SSU rRNA
Rfam family: Bacterial small subunit ribosomal RNA
Source: RNAcentral